RNAcentral lists this transfer RNA (62 nucleotides) under Perkinsus marinus ATCC 50983. It matches the Rfam family "tRNA", at positions 13 to 71 of the family's 71-position model. Rfam says of the family: Transfer RNA (tRNA) molecules are approximately 80 nucleotides in length. Lineage: Eukaryota; Perkinsozoa; Perkinsida; Perkinsidae. The record is from Rfam by way of RNAcentral.
CAAUCGGAUAGAGCGUUGGACUUCUAAUCCAAAGGUUGCGGGUUCAAGUCCCGCCCAGAGUA